This 253-nucleotide ribosomal RNA is filed under the name uncultured bacterium. Its description in RNAcentral is "partial 16S ribosomal RNA". It matches the Rfam family "Bacterial small subunit ribosomal RNA", at positions 524 to 776 of the family's 1533-position model. The record is from RNAcentral.
GACGAACCGUGCGAACGUUGUUCGGAAUCACUGGGCUUAAAGGGCGCGUAGGCGGCUGCGCAAGUCCGGGGUGAAAGCCCCCAGCUCAACUGGGGAAGUGCCUCGGAUACUGCACAGCUUGAGGGAGGUAGGGGCGGAUGGAACUUCCGGUGGAGCGGUGAAAUGCGUUGAUAUCGGAAGGAACGCCGGUGGCGAAAGCGAUCCGCUGGCCCUCUACUGACGCUGAGGCGCGAAAGCCAGGGGAGCAAACGGG